RNAcentral lists this ribosomal RNA (344 nucleotides) under Parathelphusa undulata. Its description in RNAcentral is "partial 16S ribosomal RNA". The record is from RNAcentral. Lineage: Eukaryota; Metazoa; Arthropoda; Malacostraca; Decapoda; Gecarcinucidae.
UGGCCUGCCCACUGAAGGAAUGAUUUUUAAGGGCCGCGGUAUUAUGACUGUGCAAAGGUAGCAUAAUCAUUAGGUUUUUAAAUGGAAUUUUGUAUGAAUGGUUGGACAAAGGAAAARCUGUCUUUUUUUUAAGUGUAGAAUUUUACUUUUAGGUGAGAAGGCUUAAAUAGUUUAGAGGGACGAUAAGACCCUAUAAAGCUUUACAUUAUAAUUACAUUUGAUUAAAUUUAAUAUAAAAGUUUGAUGUAGUUUUUGUUAUAUUGGGGAGAUAAGGGUAUAAAUUAUAAUAACUGCUUUAAUUAAGAACAAUUAUAAGUAAAAGGGAUCCUUUUANAGAAUAAAAG